UCGAACGGGGCCUCCGGGCCACCUUCGCUCAAACCCGUGGAUACCAGAUGUGCUUCGGCGCCUCGUGCGUCGAGUCAAUGCAUCCAUGCUUCGUCGUCUGAUUAUAAAUGGAAUUUUA
Molecule: unclassified non-coding RNA, 118 nt
Filed under: uncultured Archaeorhizomyces
Lineage: Eukaryota; Fungi; Ascomycota; Archaeorhizomycetes; Archaeorhizomycetales; Archaeorhizomycetaceae
Description: sequence contains ITS1
Source: RNAcentral